This 405-nucleotide ribosomal RNA is filed under the name uncultured bacterium. Its description in RNAcentral is "bacterial SSU rRNA". It matches the Rfam family "Bacterial small subunit ribosomal RNA", at positions 355 to 772 of the family's 1533-position model. The record is from RNAcentral.
UGGGGAAUAUUGCACAAUGGGCGCAAGCCUGAUGCAGCAACGCCGCGUGAGGGACGACGGCCUUCGGGUUGUAAACCUCUUUUGGCAGGGAAGAAGCGAAAGUGACGGUACCUGCAGAAAAAGCACCGGCUAACUACGUGCCAGCAGCCGCGGUGAUACGUAGGGUGCAAGCGUUGUCCGGAAUUAUUGGGCGUAAAGAGCUCGUAGGCGGUUUGUCGCGUCUGCUGUGAAAACCCGAGGCUCAACCUCGGGACUGCAGUGGGUACGGGCAAACUAGAGUGCGGUAGGGCAGAUUGGAAUUCCUGGUCUAGCGGUGGAAUGCGCAGAUAUCAGGAGGAACACCGAUGGCGAAGGCAGAUCUCUCGGCCGUAACUGACGCUGAGGAGCGAAAGCAUGGGGAGCGAA